CCUACGGGAGGCAGCAGUAGGGAAUUUUGCGCAAUGGAGGAAACUCUGACGCAGCAACGCCAUGUGUGGGAUGAAGCAUUUCGGUGUAUAAACCACUGUCAGCAGGGAAUAAACGGUCGCUUUGGGCGACUUUGAAUGUACCUGCAAAGGAAGCCCCGGCUAACUUCGUGCCAGCAGCCGCGGUAAUACGAGGGGGGCAAAUGUUGUUCGGAAUCACUGGGCGUAAAGGGAGCGUAGGCGGGUUUUUAAGUAAGGUGUUUAAUCCCGGGGCCCAACCCCGGACCGGCACCUUAAACUGGGAAUCUUGAAUAGUGGAGAGGUCAGUGGAAUUGGGGGUGUAGCGGUGGAAUGCGUAGAGAUCCCCAAGAACACCAGUUGCGAAGGCGGCUGACUGGACACAUAUUGACGCUGAGGCUCGAAAGCAUGGGGAGCAAACAGGAUUAGAUACCCUGGUAGUCCAUGCCAUAAACGAUGAAUAUUAGGUUUUGGGCCCGUCAACGGUCCAGAGCCGCAGCUAACGCGUUAAGUAUUCCGCCUGGGGAGUACGGUCGCAAGACUAAAACUCAAAGGAAUUGACGG
This 579-nucleotide ribosomal RNA is filed under the name uncultured bacterium. Its description in RNAcentral is "bacterial SSU rRNA". It matches the Rfam family "Bacterial small subunit ribosomal RNA", at positions 338 to 916 of the family's 1533-position model. The record is from RNAcentral.